UGUGUAAAGUUCUCUGUGCCAUUUAAAAAAGGAAGCUGCAGAACAAAUUAAAGAAACGGAUGCAAACAGAGGUCGAGACUUUCCCAGACUCUCAGCACUGAACAGGAUUCAAAUUCAGGUCUUUCUGACUAGAGGCCAGCACUUUAUCCACCCUGCCCUCCAGUUGCCUUUGCUUAAAAAGCAAGUCCAAAUUAUUUCAGCCCAAGAAUAAUGAAAAAUCAAGCAUUGGUAAUACUUUUUGUGUCAUGGACUGGUGAUGCCUCUGUAUACUUCUGAAAUAAUGUUUUUAACUGCAUAAAAUAAAAC
This 306-nucleotide long non-coding RNA is filed under the name Monodelphis domestica (gray short-tailed opossum). RNAcentral describes it as "lncRNA (ENSMODG00000048075.1)". The record is from RNAcentral. Lineage: Eukaryota; Metazoa; Chordata; Mammalia; Didelphimorphia; Didelphidae.